Molecule: long non-coding RNA, 697 nt
Organism: Ornithorhynchus anatinus (platypus)
Lineage: Eukaryota; Metazoa; Chordata; Mammalia; Monotremata; Ornithorhynchidae
Exons: 2
Source: RefSeq, a predicted model, not a curated record
GGCCUACGGCCGGCGGACGGUCGGACCAGCGGCGCUUUAUGACAUCGCCCCUGAGCGGCCCCGCCCGAGCCUUUCGCGACACGCUACGUCUGACCGAGGGCCCUGGAGGUGCAAGUCUGGAGGAGAACGGUUUUGAGGAGAACGGUCUUACUGACCCGCGAUACUCGACCGCCCCUAUGAUGACGCUUUCUGACGGUAUAAAACGUGAAAGCUUAAAACGGCGACGUAGAAGAGAUCGGCAAAAAGCAGGGAAACGGACCGUCGGGACAUCGAAUUGAUUCUCCUCAACAAGGCCGGAUGUGUUUUCAGCGGGACUCCCAAUCAGCUCCAGCGCCGCAGACACGGCGGACCGUUCCAAGAUUGCGGAAAAACAUCUUUACCGCCAUCCAGCUUUCCUCUCAUCGCCUCUUUCCAACCGAGCAAAACUCUCCCUCCAGGAACGCGUGAACCCGGGCAACUGGGAACCAAUCCGUACUAGGGCAACGGAUCAGGAUGACCACCUGGGCCCCAAAGGACGGCUCAUGGAGGAAACACGGAUAAAACUGGGAUUAUCCAAAGAGACGGCAGAACUGUGCCGUGUCCACGUAAGAAGCCUGACACUGGUCUGAUUACUGUAACUGAUCCAAAAUGCAAUUGCCAGAUCCCAUCUUCGAUAGCUUCACUGUGUGGUCGGGAUAUUGUAACACGGUGUUGGUGA